AGUCCCACCAACUCCAUAAUAUAUUUGGAUUUGGAGAGCUUGGCAUAUAAUUUCAUUUGCGGAGAGAUUUACAAUAUAUUUCCCACCUCUCCAAUUUUCUCCCAUCUUCACAUAGCUAUGCUUAGUAAAAGAACCCAUCCCAUGAUGGAAAGAUUAUCUGAAUUAUUUGUUUCCGGCAACCGUGGUGGAUUCUUGGAUGUUUCCAGUGCUAGUCCAAGAAGUGCAUUGGAGUACAGACUUCAAUCACCUAGAGGUCUAAAGAAUUAU
This 267-nucleotide unclassified non-coding RNA is filed under the name Hevea brasiliensis (rubber tree). The record is from RNAcentral. Lineage: Eukaryota; Viridiplantae; Streptophyta; Magnoliopsida; Malpighiales; Euphorbiaceae.